Molecule: ribosomal RNA, 441 nt
Filed under: uncultured bacterium
Lineage: Bacteria
Description: partial 16S ribosomal RNA
Rfam family: Bacterial small subunit ribosomal RNA
Source: RNAcentral
CCUACGGGAGGCAGCAGUGGGGGAUAUUGCACAAUGGGGGGAACCCUGAUGCAGCGACGCCGCGUGGGUGAAGGAGCGUUUCGGAGCGUAAAGCCCUAUCGGCAGGGAAGAAGAAGGACGGUACCUGACUCAGAAGCCCCGGCUAACUACGUGCCAGCAGCCGCGGUAAUACGUAGGGGGCAAGCGUUAUCCGGAUUUACUGGGUGUAAAGGGGGCGCAGACGGGAGCGCAAGCCAGGAGUGAAAGCCCGGGGCCGAACCCCGGGACUGCUCUUGGAACUGCGCGGCUGGAGUGCAGGAGGGGCAGGCGGAAUUCCUGGUGUAGCGGUGAAAUGCGUAGAUAUCAGGAGGAACACCGGUGGCGAAGGCGGACUGCUGGACAGCGACUGACGUUGAGGCCCGAAAGCGUGGGGAGCAAACAGGAUUAGAUACCCUGGUAGUC